ACACCUGUUCCCAUUCCGAACACAGAAGUUAAGCUCUUUAGCGCUGAAAGUACUUGGUGGGAAGCCGCCUGGGAGGUUAGGACGUAGCCACGU
This 93-nucleotide ribosomal RNA is filed under the name Peptostreptococcus anaerobius. The record is from RNAcentral. RNAcentral also lists the same sequence under 1 other name. Lineage: Bacteria; Bacillati; Bacillota; Clostridia; Peptostreptococcales; Peptostreptococcaceae.